This is a non-coding RNA of Podarcis lilfordi (Lilford's wall lizard), 70 nucleotides long. The record is from the annotation of a GenBank genome assembly. Lineage: Eukaryota; Metazoa; Chordata; Lepidosauria; Squamata; Lacertidae.
GCGAUAGCUCGGUGUUAAAAGCAUCUGCUUGUCAUGCAGAAGGUCCCGGUCUCGAUCCCUGGCAUCUACA